GUGAAAUUUUAUUUCAUACCAACUUUUUUUAUCACUGUUUUCCCUACAUUUUGGAAGUAAGGGGAUUUUAGGCCCAAAAAAUUGCAAAGUAGUGGGCGUGACGAUUACUGAAACUGAAAGCUGGGCUGAGUGAAAUGCUUUACCAUCAGCAGACAUUGUGCUUUGUCUGUUGGAAUCAUUGAAAUUAAGCCUCUUCUAUCUGAGCAGCACUGCAGCCCUGACAAACACUUCCUGUCCUUAAGAUUGUGUAUCAGUGGAAGCGAUCCAAACAGUGAAACCUUGCGACACUCUAGAUUUCACUAAGAGGAGCUUGCAGUCCUCCAGUAGUCUUGACUAGUCUGCUACUUCUCAGAUGGGAAAGAACUUCGAAGACCCCCAUCUCCCCCUUAGAGGAGCCACUUUAAAUAGAGAUAACCACACUGAGGUCAGUCUUCAGAGCAGUCUAUGAGAACAUGCACUCACAAGACUGACUGACAUGAGAUCACUCUCUCCUCUCAUUCCUACACGUUUAUG
This 513-nucleotide long non-coding RNA is filed under the name Sinocyclocheilus grahami. RNAcentral describes it as "lncRNA (ENSSGRG00000054227.1)". The record is from RNAcentral. Lineage: Eukaryota; Metazoa; Chordata; Actinopteri; Cypriniformes; Cyprinidae.